This 245-nucleotide ribosomal RNA is filed under the name uncultured Micromonospora sp. RNAcentral describes it as "partial 16S ribosomal RNA". It matches the Rfam family "Bacterial small subunit ribosomal RNA", at positions 524 to 768 of the family's 1533-position model. The record is from RNAcentral. Lineage: Bacteria; Bacillati; Actinomycetota; Actinomycetes; Micromonosporales; Micromonosporaceae.
GACGUAGGGUGCGAGCGUUGUCCGGAUUUAUUGGGCGUAAAGAGCUCGUAGGCGGCCUGUUGCGUCAGCUGCGAAAACCCGCGGCUUAACCGUGGGCCUGCAGCUGAUACGGGCAGGCUAGAGUUCGGUAGGGGAGACUGGAAUUCCUGGUGUAGCGGUGAAAUGCGCAGAUAUCAGGAGGAACACCGGUGGCGAAGGCGGGUCUCUGGGCCGAUACUGACGCUGAGGAGCGAAAGCGUGGGGAG